This 290-nucleotide unclassified non-coding RNA is filed under the name Hevea brasiliensis (rubber tree). Lineage: Eukaryota; Viridiplantae; Streptophyta; Magnoliopsida; Malpighiales; Euphorbiaceae. The record is from RNAcentral.
UUUUUUUCAGAACUACUUCUUAACAUCCCACGAAAUGGUAAAUAGAAAAGGCCAUUAUAGCUCCAACAACCCAUAAAGCCACAAACAACCAUUGUCAAAUUUCCAAGCAUAUAAUGGGAUUGGGGGAAUGAAAAAAAAUAAGAGAGAAAAGGCAAAUAACAGCAUUUGCUCAAACAAGUUUGCAUAUGCUGCAUGUUACAAAAACUGAAUUCAAGACUUAAAAAGGAUCUGAUUUCCUUUAUCAUCCAACAUGGAUCCGGUAGGCUGUCACAAUGGUGUUGCAAGCCCUU